UACAGAGGUGGCAAGCGUUGUUCGGAAUUACUGGGCGUAAAGGGCGCGUAGGCGGCUUGGUCAGUCCCGUGUGAAAUCCCUCGGCUCAACUGAGGAACUGCACGGGAAACUGCCUGGCUUGAGUUCGGGAGAGGGAAGCGGAAUUCCGGGUGUAGCGGUGAAAUGCGUAGAUAUCUGGAGGAACACCGGUGGCGAAGGCGGCAUUCUGGACCGACAUUGACGCUGAGGCGCGAAAGCCAGGGGAGCAAACGGG
This 253-nucleotide ribosomal RNA is filed under the name uncultured bacterium. RNAcentral describes it as "partial 16S ribosomal RNA". It matches the Rfam family "Bacterial small subunit ribosomal RNA", at positions 524 to 776 of the family's 1533-position model. The record is from RNAcentral.